UGGAACACACAAUACACUAUUGAAGGCUUCAAAUUAUAGAUCACAAAAAAUUAUAUUCCAUUCGCAUAUAUUGUUUACAACAGUAGGUUACAGUAAAAAAAGAAGGCAUUAAAAAUGUACAAAUUAUCUUCAUAAUGCCUAAAAUAUUGAUGACCAGUCCAAGCCAAAGUCAACAGAAACAAAUACUACUCCAUCAUAUCUGCAGUUUCUUAUUAACUUGGAAAGUGAAGUCGGCAAGGUCUGUAUGAUGGUCGUAAGGAAUUAUAUCAAAUUACAAGUAAUUGACAAAUCAUAUUCUCACAGUAAUUUUAUCAAACACCUAAUAGACGGUCGAAAAAAAAAUUACUAUCAUGAGGGCAUAGUCAUAGAAUAUAGAUUAUGAGAAGAUAAAUAUAGCGAAAAGAUUUUGUGGUACUAUGGUCAAAAGAUUCGAAACACCUAGUAUACAGAUCUCAGAUCUCAGAUCUCAGAGUGCAGAAAUCAGAAAUCAGAAAGUAUUAUAGUGUAUAUGAUGUGUACAGAUCUGAGAUCUCAUGAGUCACGACUUACCGUUGGUUGCAUGCUAGCUCAGGGUCAGAGAUGCAGCAGAUGCUUAGAUUUGAGAGAGGGCAGGCCGGCAGGUUGAGCUUUAAUGGAGGAGAAGCUUCAAUGGAGCCAUGGAGGAGAAGUUAUUUCAUAUUUGUGAAGAAGACUGAAGAACUAAUGAAGAAGACUGAAGAGGUAUGUAGAGACGUUAAGAGCAUCUCCAGCAGAUGACUAUGGAUUAUAUUUAGUGCAUAUGACGUGAGCAGAUGUCUAUAGUCUUCAAUUCUUCCAGUAAAUGGAUCAUAAUUUUCUAUAAAAAAAUAAAUUAAAGAGAGAUUAUCAAUAAAAAAUAAAAAUUAAAUAUAAUAAAAAUACAAAUUAUUAUUAAUAAAAUACUUACAAUUACUAAAUGUUAGAAUAAUUAAUUGAAAAUUGUAAAAUUUAUUAAAUUAUUGUACAUAUUUAUAAAUUUUCCAAUUACCCUAAUAAUUGUAUAUUUGUAUUCUAUAUGUUGCUAUCACUCUUCCCACUUCGUCUUCUUCAUCUCCUUCUUCACAUACCUUCUUCUCCUUCAUUUUAUUCUUCACAGAUCUUCAUCUUCUUUUUCUUCUAUCCAUUCUCCCAUUUAAUAAUAUUAAAAACAUAGUCCAUGAGAUUUUUGUUCCUUGAUUUAGUCUUUUUGGAUUGCCGGAAAAUGGCUGGACUAAAUAUACUCUAUCUGCUGGAGCAAAAUCUGCUUUCUAGACUAAAUAUAGUCUAGAAUUUUCGCAACUGCGGCCUGUUGGAAUUGCUCUAAGACCGAAAAGAGUAAAGUGAAGUAUGUAAAAGAGAAAGUAAGGUAAAGUGAGUAACUGAGUUAUAAAGUACUUAAAGUAUUAAUUAAUAAUUAUUACAAUUCAGUUUAUAUCGAAUUUAAAAAUCCAAAAAAAUCGGUACCGUCGGUUUCGGUACAGACCGAUUCGAUAAAAAACCAACAAAAUCGAAUUUUUUAAGGAACCCUAUCUAACGUUUUCCAGACAUGAUUGAUGCCAAAAGAUCUAUAUAAUGGAAUCCAUCAGUAUUAAACAAGUAAAUAACUCUAAGAUCCAUAUUUACCUGCUGUACAUUUUUAAUCACAUAUUUACCUGCUGUACAUUUUUAAUCACAUAUUUUCAUUACCUGCUGUACAUUUUUAAUCACAUAUUUACCAAAAAGAUCCAUAAAACCUGCAUCAAACUCAAAGGAACAAGAUAUUAGUAUAGGAAAUAGGGAAUUUCAUCAGAUAAGAACUAGUCAUACAUACUUCAAUAUAAAAGAAUACAAGCUACAAAGUUAUCAACUUGCCCAUUAAUCCAGGGCAUUUUGAAGCUGAUUCUCUAUUUAAAAUUGUGGAUAGGCACUGCCAAUAAAUUAGGGAGAUUACCACUAAAAAGACUGUGAUAACAGAAAAGAUUGGUUGCAAUUGCUCCUGGAUGAAGUGCAUUUGCAGUUAUAUCUAACCCCUCUUCCUGUUCAGAGAAAAUAACAUCGACAUUGUUUUAGAGAAUAUCACUGACACUACUAAGAGGACAGACACUUAUGAUAGAUUAUUUCGCAUUGUCCACAACUUACUAAUGUUUACAGGGUGACAUCAGUGGCAAUGCAGAAGUGAAGCAUCAAUCUUAAGCAAGCAAAUCACACUUAUCGAAGUUUAUCAUUGAUUCAGUUUUAUGAGGAUGUAUACAAGCAUUGAAAUACCUUCAAACGCCUUGCAAGUUCAUUAGCAUGCAGAACAUUAGCAAGUUUUGACUGACCAUAUGCAGAUAAACUGUUAUACCUGUAUAUCACGAAUUAUGCACACAUUAGAUGAAGUUGACGAAACACAUAAAAGAACAGUCAUUUUCUAAAACAUGAAGAAUAGACACAGACACAUGAAACACACACAGCGGCACACAUACAUAAAUGCGUGCGAGAGAGAAGAAUGCCAUACUCUGACUGAUCAUUAAUUUUGUCAAAGCGAAUCCCUUCAGGAUAUGUAAACUGGUGGCGCCGUGAUGAGACAUUCAAAAUUCUUCCUUCUUUGCUACUUUCACGUGCUGUCGUCUUCAUGGCUUCCAACAAUAGAUUUGUCAAAAGAAAAUGACCAGUGAGAUGAUAAAGAGUCUCAGCCAACUUACGUCUUCUGCACUCAAUCCAUCUAUGGUGGUUGCUAAGAAAGAAAAGGUGACUAAACAAUAAUCAAAGGUAUAUGGAAGACUUGUAAUCUGAAUCAAAUUAUUUCUGAACAAUGCUCAGACAUGAAAGUUCAACUUAAGUGUGCCAAUAAAUCCCAGAGAAGUGAUCAUCUUACCCAAAUGGUUUGUUGCAAACUGUAGCUCUAUAUUGUUGCCAUAACUCCUGCAUUGUUACUUGCAGCAAAGAACAUAAAAUGUUCCAUUUGAUUAAACUCAUUUCUUUCUAGUCAUUCAGAUAUAGUAUGUACAUACAUUAAUAUAAAUAUAUAUAUAUAUAUAUAUAUAUAUAUAUAUAUAUAUAUUAAUAUAAAUAUAUGUAAAUAUUUAUAUUUAUAUUUACAUAUACAUGUAUAUAUAAAUAUAAAUAUAUAUGGGCUAUAUGUAUAUAAACAGCUGUGUAUUACACAGUAGGGCUAUGACGACAGAUUUUUUGGGCUAUGGCGACGGUAAACUAGACAUUUUUAAUUUAUUUUUUUGUCCCAAAAAAUGUAUAGUAUUUAUUCCAACAUAAAUUUCUAUAAUAUAAUAUUUUAGGUGUAAUUUAGAUACAUAUACAACAACAGGAUAUCUAAAUUAAACAUAAAACACUAUAUUUUGUAAAAAUUCAUGUUGGAAUAAAUACUAUACAUUUUUUAAGACUCACAAGCAAAAAUAAAUAAAUAAAUUAAAAAUGUCCAAUUUUCCUGUCCAUUUUUCCGGGUCUCUGUAGAAGUACUCUAAUUUUUAUAUCAAUAUAUUUCCCACCCUUACUUUUUGGAUACUACUACCUACUGGGAUAAAGUAUCUGCAAAUAAGGAGACAAAUAUUCCGUACAAUAAUCAAUCUUUAUCUAUUAAUUUUGUAUGAUUAAAAAUAAAUUACACAAAUAAUCAGAUCAACGUCAAAAGAGUAUUUGCUAAACAAACACGUUUAGCACUACUAUACUUAACUUGGCAUUAAUUUACUUACCGGUGGGAGAAAAAAGAAGUAAAUGUAUAUAUGGGAAAAGGAAAUCAAAUUAUAUCAGAACCAAAACUGGACUAUCUUUAUCAUUAGAGGAGUUCUCUCCUCUCUCUCUGUAUAUGCUUUUUCUCUCAUAUAUAUAUAUAAACCCUCUCCUCUCCUCUCUCUAGAUGCUUUCUCUCUCACACAAGCGCACACAGUAAUAGGAUAGGGGUAGGACUGUAGGUGUAGGAAGGGUAAUAGUACGGGAUGCCAGAUAAAACUAUUUGUAUCUGUCGAUCACCACUCACACUCCGUAAAAAAGCUGCAUGCGUGUUUAUUACAACCACGAUUCCCUAUUAAUAAAGUCAACUCCUCCUCUUACUAUGCUACGGAUCCGGUUAGCAUGAAAUUUGUUUUUUGUUAAGUUGGUCAAUAGAAUGCCGACACACAUCGAGUCUCGCCUGCGUGUCAGCACUCUAUUGGCCAAUUACUCAAAAUGAACUUCAUUCUAACCAAUUCCCUAUGCUACAGACAAGACAAUAAUGAGGGUUUUAACCAUACGUUCAAUACUCCAGAAGAAUAAGACGGUGUUGUACAGCUCGUUAAUACCAAUGAAAUCAAUCAAUGGUAAUCAUUCAUAUAUAUAUAUAUAUAUAUAUAAGUUUUUUCUACUAUUUUUUCUUCCAUCUCUUUCUCCCCAUUUUUAACCGAGAUUUCUCUUAGAAAAUGAAAAGAAGUAGAUGAAGCAACACCUAAGGUUGUGGAUGCAUCGGUGAAAAAAAAAUUAAAUUUCAGAGAAAGACAAACUUCAAGUUCCGUUUUAGGCCGGUCCAAUGCCAGCGAUGCACUCUCGCUCCGCCUCCACCGUCACCGACUCCGCCUCCACCACCGUCGAAAUCAAAAUUAUACUGCAAAAAUAACCAACCUAUAUUGAUUCGAUUGAUAUACUGAUCUUACCCUAUUGAAAACAGAUUUUAAAAUCUAUAAGAACCUGGUCAAGUACUUUUGUAGUCGGAACAAGUCUGGCUCAAUCCUAUGAGAGGUUUACUAGGUCAAUUACUUCCAGAGAUAUCUCCUCCUUCAAAGAAGUUGUAUUAGGUAAAGAUUCAAAAAAAUUGGAUAAAAUCCUGAGUAUAUUGGAUAGGAUCGAAGAAAAGUUGGAUAAUCUUGACAAAGGAGAAGGAGAUGGUGACCAAGGUGAUGAAGAUGGCAUUAACCUAAAGGUGGUGGUGAAGAUAGUGAAAUGGAUGUGGAAGAUAUUUUUUCCCUAAACUGAUUACAAUAUUUUGUUAUGGUAGUUCGAUUAAUAUUUUGUUAUGGUAGGUAAAGGCAUCACCAUCUCGUUCGUGCACCAAAUUCAGAAUGAACUUGAAUAGGGACCAAGUAAUUUAUUUUUAUUAUUAUUUUGGGUUCUAACAAGUCGGAUUUAAACUAGAAAUUUCAAUUUUGUUCAGAACCAAAAAGCUUUGGGAGAAAAAAAAUAUUUGGAUUUUUGAUUUUUAAUUUGUAAGGAGAAAAGUUGAUUUUUGGUUUGCAAAUUAUGGACUCCCAAAGCUGGAGUAAAUCCAAGUUGUAAUUAAUUUUAAUAGAAUUGACAACUUAUUUAUAAACAUAAAAAUUAAUUAAAUAAGUUGAACUCUGUUUAAAAUAAUACGCAACACAAAAAUACAACUCUUUCUGAAACCAACUCGAUAAACAUCAUCUUUUCAUUCUAAAAUUCAUAGAAAUGCAACUGUUUCUGAGUUUUUUGCCACCAACUAAAAAGGAAAGCCAGUUCUAUCACAAGGAGUAAUAAAUAAAUAUGCUAAAUGUCAAACAAACCAGGUGAUGCCCUUACCUACCAUAACAAAAUAUUAACCGAACUACCAUAACAAAAUAUUGUACUCAGUUUAGGAAAAAACAUCUUCCACAUCCAUUUCACCAUCUUCACUACCACUUUUAGGUUAAUGCCACCAUCUUCAUCACCUUCGUCACCAUCUCCUUCUCCUUUGUCAAGAUUAUCCAACUUUUCUUCGAUCUUAUCCAAUGUCCUCAUGAUUUUAUCCAAUUUUUAUGAAUCUUUACGGAAUACAACUUCUUUGUAGACGAAGUAAAUAUAUAUCUCCGCGUGAAAUUGCCCAGGUAAAUCUCUCAUACAAUUGAGUCAAACUAGUACCGACUACAAAAGUACUUGACCAGGUUCUUAUAGAUUUUAAAAUUUAUUUUCAACAGGGUAAGAUCAGUAUAUCAAUCGAAUCAAUAUAGGUUGGUUAUUUUUGCAGUAUACCUUUAAUUACGACGGUGACGGUAGUGGAGGCAGAGCCGGUGACGAUGGUGGAGGCGAAGCGAGAGUGCAUCGCUAGGAUUGGACCGACCUAAAAUGGCACUUGAAGUUUGUCCUUCUCUGAAAUUUAAUUUUUUUUUCACUGACGCACCCACAAUCUCAGGUGCUGCUUCAUCUCCCUUCUUCUCAUCAUUUUGUAAGAGGAAAUGCCAAUUAAAAAUGUGGAGAAAGAGAUGAAAGAAAAAAAUAAUAGAAAAAACUUAUAUAUAUAUAUGAAUGAUUACCAUUAAUUGAUUUGAUUGGUAUUAACGAGCUGUGCAACACCGUCUUAUUCUUCCGGAGUAUUGAAUGUAUGGACAAAACAUAAUCAAUGUAUUAUGUAUUGUGUGUAGCUUACUAGGAGGAGUUGCUGGCUUUAUUUAUAGGAGAAUUGUGGUUGUAAUUAACGUAGUAGUGUAGAGAGAGUACAUGCAUGCAACUUUUUUUACAGAGAGUGGUGAUCGACAAAUACAGAUACCAACAGAUAGUCGUCAGCUACCAUUACCCUUCAUACAGUCCUACCCCUACUACUGUGUGCGCUUGUGUGUGAGAGAAAGCAUAUAUGGAGAGAGAGAGGAGAAGAGGGUCUUCUGAUCUGAGCUAUAUAUAUACUAGCGAUAACCCGUGCCUGAAGGCACUGUAUAAUUCAAAAAAAAUAAAAAUAAAUUAUGAACACAAAAAAUUGAAAUAUGAGUUAUUUUGCGGCAACAUGUGAUGUCUAGUUUCCUCAAGUCUUUGUUUGUUGUCACAAGGGAUGAUAGACCUUCAUCAAUCACUCACAUACAUUUACUUAACUUAGCUCCCUCAAUGAAAUACACCAAUUUCCAAUGGCUUUCAGUCCAUAACAUGUAACCUGGCAACUAUCUAAUUUGAUUGAUUGCAACAUGGAAAGGUUUUGCAAAACAGCACUUACAUAAAUUUGUCCUCCUUUUCAAGAAUUUGUUUUUCUCACCGACGAAUCCGAAACCAACUCCACUCAUCUACACUCUUGAAUUUAUCCAAUGGGUAGACUGGCCCAAUAAGCAUGUUGAACCGCCUCCUCCUUACCUAAAAGGUUAACCUAUUAGGUUGAGGUUGCCUUAACCAUACUUAUUAACCCAUCCACCCUCUUAAAUUUAUCCAAUGUGAAAUUCAUCUGAAAUAUCUCAACAUUGAAUUUAUCCAAUGUGGGAUCUCCACCUUUCACUUAAUACCUUGUAGUUUAUACUUGGACUCUAUUUACUCCACCUUUCACUUAAUACCAUGGAGUUGAUACUUGGACUCUAUUUACUCCACGCACGAGGCCCUCGUGUUUUGUGGUACUAUGGUCAUAGAAUAUAGAUUAUGAGAAGAUAAAAAUAGCAAAAAGAUUUUGUGGUACUAUGGUCAAAAGAUUCGAAACACCUAGUAUACAGAUCUCAGAUCUCAGAUCUCAGAGUGCAGAAAUCAGAAAUUAGAAAGUAUUAUAGUGUAUAUGAUGUAUACAGAUCUGAUAUCUCACGAGUCACGACUUACCGUCGGCAUCUAGUCGGAGACGUUGGUUGCUUGCUAGCUCAAGGUCAGAGAUGCAGCAGAUGCUUAGAUUUGAGAAAGGGCAGGCCGGCAGGUUGAGCUUUAAUGGAGGAGAAGCUUCAAUGGAGCCAUGGAGGAGAAGUUAUUUCAUAGUAUUUGUGAAAGAAGACUGAAGAACUAGUGUAGAAGACUGAAGAGGUCUGUAGAGACGUUAAGACUAAAGAGAGUAAAGUGAAGUCGGUAAAAGAGAGAAU
Molecule: long non-coding RNA, 7688 nt
Filed under: Panax ginseng (ginseng)
Lineage: Eukaryota; Viridiplantae; Streptophyta; Magnoliopsida; Apiales; Araliaceae
Description: long non-coding RNA (PGIN_LNC002006)
Source: RNAcentral